Molecule: ribosomal RNA, 468 nt
Filed under: uncultured Acidovorax sp.
Lineage: Bacteria; Pseudomonadati; Pseudomonadota; Betaproteobacteria; Burkholderiales; Comamonadaceae
Description: bacterial SSU rRNA
Rfam family: Bacterial small subunit ribosomal RNA
Source: RNAcentral
GACGGGACCCGCACAAGCGGUGGAUGAUGUGGAUUAAUUCGAUGCAACGCGAAAACCUUACCUACCUUGACAUGUCCGGAAUCCCGAAGAGAUUUGGGAGUGCUCGCAAGAGAGCCGUAACACAGGUGCUGCAUGGCUGUCGUCAGCUCGUGUCGUGAGAUGUUGGGUUAAGUCCCGCAACGAGCGCAACCCUUGUCAUUAGUUGCUACAUUCAGUUGGGCACUCUAAUGAGACUGCCGGUGACAAACCGGAGGAAGGUGGGGAUGACGUCAAGUCCUCAUGGCCCUUAUAGGUGGGGCUACACACGUCAUACAAUGGAUGGUACAAAGGGUCGCCAACCCGCGAGGGGGAGCCAAUCCCAUAAAGCCAUUCGUAGUCCGGAUCGCAGUCUGCAACUCGACUGCGUGAAGUCGGAAUCGCUAGUAAUCGUAUAUCAGCAAUGAUACGGUGAAUACGUUCCCGGACCUU